This 461-nucleotide ribosomal RNA is filed under the name Streptococcus mitis. RNAcentral's name for it is "bacterial SSU rRNA". It matches the Rfam family "Bacterial small subunit ribosomal RNA", at positions 28 to 477 of the family's 1533-position model. Lineage: Bacteria; Bacillati; Bacillota; Bacilli; Lactobacillales; Streptococcaceae. The record is from RNAcentral.
GACGAACGCUGGCGGCGUGCCUAAUACAUGCAAGUAGAACGCUGAAGGAGGAGCUUGCUUCUCUGGAUGAGUUGCGAACGGGUGAGUAACGCGUAGGUAACCUGCCUGGUAGCGGGGGAUAACUAUUGGAAACGAUAGCUAAUACCGCAUAAGAGUAGAUGUUGCAUGACAUUUGCUUAAAAGGUGCAAUUGCAUCACUACCGGAUGGACCUGCGUUGUAUUAGCUAGUUGGUGAGGUAACGGCUCACCAAGGCGACGAUACAUAGCCGACCUGAGAGGGUGAUCGGCCACACUGGGACUGAGACACGGCCCAGACUCCUACGGGAGGCAGCAGUAGGGAAUCUUCGGCAAUGGACGGAAGUCUGACCGAGCAACGCCGCGUGAGUGAAGAAGGUUUUCGGAUCGUAAAGCUCUGUUGUAAGAGAAGAAACGAGUGUGAGAGUGGAAAGUUCACAACUGUG